This 457-nucleotide ribosomal RNA is filed under the name uncultured Rhodocyclaceae bacterium. RNAcentral describes it as "bacterial SSU rRNA". It matches the Rfam family "Bacterial small subunit ribosomal RNA", at positions 925 to 1382 of the family's 1533-position model. Lineage: Bacteria; Pseudomonadati; Pseudomonadota; Betaproteobacteria; Rhodocyclales; Rhodocyclaceae. The record is from RNAcentral.
ACAAGCGGUGGAUGAUGUGGAUUAAUUCGAUGCAACGCGAAAACCUUACCUACCCUUGACAUGUCCGGAAUCCCGAAGAGAUUUGGGAGUGCUCGCAAGAGAACCGGAACACAGGUGCUGCAUGGCUGUCGUCAGCUCGUGUCGUGAGAUGUUGGGUUAAGUCCCGCAACGAGCGCAACCCUUGUCAUUAGUUGCCAUCAUUUGGUUGGGCACUCUAAUGAGACUGCCGGUGACAAACCGGAGGAAGGUGGGGAUGACGUCAAGUCCUCAUGGCCCUUAUGGGUAGGGCUUCACACGUCAUACAAUGGUCGGUACAGAGGGUUGCCAACCCGCGAGGGGGAGCUAAUCCCACAAAGCCGAUCGUAGUCCGGAUCGCAGCCUGCAACUCGACUGCGUGAAGUCGGAAUCGCUAGUAAUCGUGGAUCAGCAUGUCACGGUGAAUACGUUCCCGGGUCUU